GAUGAACGCUGGCGGCGUGCCUAAUACAUGCAAGUCGAGCGAACAGACGAGGAGCUUGCUCCUCUGACGUUAGCGGCGGACGGGUGAGUAACAAGUGGAUAACCUACCUCUUAGACUGGGAUAACUUCGGGAAACCGGAGCUAAUACCGGAUCAUAUAUUGAACCGCAUGGUUCAAUAGUGAAAGACGGUUUUGCUGUCACUUAUAGAUGGUUCCGCGCCGCAUUAGCUAGUUGGUAAGGUAACGGCUUACCAAGGCAACGAUGCGUAGCCGACCUGAGAGGGUGAUCAGCCACACUGGAACUGAGACACGGUCCAGACUCCUACGGGAGGCAGCAGUAGGGAAUCUUCCGCAAUGGGCGAAAGCCUGACGGAGCAACGCCGCGUGAGUGAUGAAGGUCUUCGGAUCGUAAAACUCUGUUAUUAGGGAAGAACAAAUGUGUAAGUAACUAUGCACGUCUUGACGGUACCUAAUCAGAAAGCCACGGCUAACUACGUG
This 497-nucleotide ribosomal RNA is filed under the name uncultured bacterium. Its description in RNAcentral is "partial 16S ribosomal RNA". It matches the Rfam family "Bacterial small subunit ribosomal RNA", at positions 28 to 507 of the family's 1533-position model. The record is from RNAcentral.